RNAcentral lists this ribosomal RNA (498 nucleotides) under uncultured bacterium. Its description in RNAcentral is "partial 16S ribosomal RNA". It matches the Rfam family "Bacterial small subunit ribosomal RNA", at positions 30 to 523 of the family's 1533-position model. The record is from RNAcentral.
AUUGAACGCUGGCGGCAUGCCUUACACAUGCAAGUCGAACGGUAACAGGUCUUCGGAUGCUGACGAGUGGCGAACGGGUGAGUAAUACAUCGGAACGUGCCUAGUAGUGGGGGAUAACUACUCGAAAGAGUGGCUAAUACCGCAUGAGAUCUACGGAUGAAAGCAGAGGAUCGCAAGACCUUGUGCUACGAGAGCGGCCGAUGGCAGAUUAGGUAGUUGGUGGGAUAAAAGCUUACCAAGCCGACGAUCUGUAGCUGGUCUGAGAGGACGAUCAGCCACACUGGGACUGAGACACGGCCCAGACUCCUACGGGAGGCAGCAGUGGGGAAUUUUGGACAAUGGGCGCAAGCCUGAUCCAGCAAUGCCGCGUGCAGGAGGAAGGCCUUCGGGUUGUAAACUGCUUUUGUACGGAACGAAAAGCCCUGGGUUAAUACCCUGGGGUCAUGACGGUACCGUAAGAAUAAGCACCGGCUAACUACGUGCCAGCAGCCGCAGUAA